RNAcentral lists this ribosomal RNA (253 nucleotides) under uncultured bacterium. RNAcentral describes it as "partial 16S ribosomal RNA". It matches the Rfam family "Bacterial small subunit ribosomal RNA", at positions 524 to 776 of the family's 1533-position model. The record is from RNAcentral.
UACGUAGGGUGCGAGCGUUAAUCGGAAUUACUGGGCGUAAAGCGUGCGCAGGCGGCUUUGCAAGACAGAUGUGAAAUCCCCGGGCUCAACCUGGGAAUUGCGCUUGUGACUGCAAAGCUGGAGUGCGGCAGAGGGGGAUGGAAUUCCGCGUGUAGCAGUGAAAUGCGUAGAUAUGCGGAGGAACACCGAUGGCGAAGGCAAUCCCCUGGGCCUGCACUGACGCUCAUGCACGAAAGCGUGGGGAGCAAACAGG